This 327-nucleotide ribosomal RNA is filed under the name uncultured eukaryote. RNAcentral's name for it is "partial 18S ribosomal RNA". It matches the Rfam family "Eukaryotic small subunit ribosomal RNA", at positions 1470 to 1796 of the family's 1831-position model. The record is from RNAcentral.
CCCUUAUAUGUUCUGGGCCGCACACGCGCUACACUGAAGGAGGCAGCGUGUACUCCUGGAUCGAAAGAUUUGGGUAACCCGCGAAUCUCCUUCGUGCUAGGGAUUGAGGUUUGCAAUUAUCCUUCAUGAACGAGGAAUUCCCAGUAAGUGCAAGUCAUAAGCUUGCGCUGACUACGUCCCUGCCCUUUGUACACACCGCCCGUCGCUACUACCGAUUGAAUGAUUUAGUGAGGACUUCGGACUGGGACCGAUGCGGCUUUCGGGCUGCGUCGGUAUUCUGGAAAGAUGUCCAAACUGUAUCAUUUAGAGGAAGUAAAAGUCGUAACA